This is a long non-coding RNA of Oncorhynchus keta (chum salmon), 2170 nucleotides long. RefSeq lists it as uncharacterized. The transcript has 5 exons. The record is from RefSeq and is a predicted model, not a curated record. Lineage: Eukaryota; Metazoa; Chordata; Actinopteri; Salmoniformes; Salmonidae.
UAUGAGGACAGUAACAGGGCUGAUAUGAGGACAGUAACAGGUUUUCAUGGGGCUGAUAUGAGGACAGUAACAGGUUUUCAUGGGGCUGAUAUGAGGACAGUGACAGGUUUUCAUGGGGCUGAUAUGAGGACAAUAACAGGGCUGAUAUGAGGACAGUAACAGGUUUUCAUGGGGCUGAUAUGAGGACAGUAACAGGUUUUCAUGGGGCUGAUAUGAGGACAGUAACAGGUUUUCAUGGGGCUGAUAUGAGGACAGUAACAGGUUUUCAUGGGGCUGAUAUGAGGACAGUAACAGGUUUUCAUGGGGCUGAUAUGAGGACAGUAACAGGUUUUCAUGGGGCUGAUAUGAGGACAGUAACAGGUUUUCAUGGGGCUGAUAUGAGGACAGUAACAGGUUUUCAUGAUGCUGAUAUGAGGACAGUAACAGGUUUUCAUGGGGCUGAUAUGAGGACAGUAACAGGGCUGAUAUGAGGACAGUAACAGGUUUUCAUGGGGCUGAUAUGAGGACAGUAACAGGUUUUCAUGGGGCUGAUAUGAGGACAGUAACAGGUUUUCAUGGGGCUGAUAUGAGGACAGUAACAGGUUUUCAUAAUGCUGAUAUGAGGACAGUAACAGGUUUUCAUGGGGCUGAUAUGAGGACAGUGACAGGUUUUCAUGGGGCUGAUAUGAGGACAGUGACAGGUUUUCAUGGGGCUGAUAUGAGGACAGUAACAGGUUUUCAUGGGGCUGAUAUGAGGACAGUAACAGGUUUUCAUGGGGCUGAUAUGAGGACAGUAACAGGUUUUCAUGGGGCUGAUAUGAGGACAGUAACAGGUUUUCAUGGGGCUGAUAUGAGGACAGUAACAGGUUUUCAUGGGGCUGAUAUGAGGACAGUAACAGGGCUGAUAUGAGGACAGUAACAGGUUUUCAUGAUGCUGAUAUGAGGACAGUAACAGGUUUUCAUGAUGCUGAUAUGAGGACAGUAACAGGUUUUCAUGGGGCUGAUAUGAGGACAGUAACAGGUUUUCAUGGGGCUGAUAUGAGGACAGUAACAGGUUUUCAUGAUGCUGAUAUGAGGACAGUAACAGGUUUUCAUGGGGCUGAUAUGAGGACAGUAACAGGUUUUCAUGGGGCUGAUAUGAGGACAGUAACAGGUUUUCAUGAUGCUGAUAUGAGGACAGUAACAGGUUUUCAUGGGGCUGAUAUGAGGACAGUAACAGGUUUUCAUGGGGCUGAUAUGAGGACAGUAACAGGGCUGAUAUGAGGACAGUAACAGGUUUUCAUGAUGCUGAUAUGAGGACAGUAACAGGGCUGAUAUGAGGACAGUAACAGGUUUUCAUGAUGCUGAUAUGAGGACAGUAACAGGUUUUCAUGAUGCUGAUAUGAGGACAGUAACAGGUUUUCAUGAUGCUGAUAUGAGGACAGUAACAGGUUUUCAUGGGGCUGAUAUGAGGACAGUAACAGGGCUGAUAUGAGGACAGUAACAGGUUUUCAUGGUGCUGAUAUGAGGACAGUAACAGGGCUGAUAUGAGGACAGUAACAGGUUUUCAUGGGGCUGAUAUGAGGACAGUGGCAGGUUUUCAUGGGGCUGAUAUGAGGACAGUAACAGGUUUUCAUGGGGCUGAUAUGAGGACAGUAACAGGUUUUCAUGGGGCUGAUAUGAGGACAGUGACAGGUUUUCAUGGGGCUGAUAUGAGGACAGUAACAGGUUUUCAUGGGGCUGAUAUGAGGACAGUGGCAGGUUUUCAUGGGGCUGAUAUGAGGACAGUAACAGGUUUUCAUGGGGCUGAUAUGAGGACAGUAACAGGUUUUCAUGAUGCUGAUAUGAGGACAGUAACAGGGCUGAUAUGAGGACAGUAACAGGGCUGAUAUGAGGACAGUAACAGGUUUUCAUGGGGUUGAUAUGAGGACAGUAACAGGUUUUCAUGGGGCUGAUAUGAGGACAGUAACAGGUUUUCAUGAUGCUGAUAUGAGGACAGUAACAGGUUUUCAUGGGGCUGAUAUGAGGACAGUAACAGGUUUUCAUGGGUCUGAUAUGAGGACAGUAACAGGUUUUCAUGGGGCUGAUAUGGGGGUGAAAAUGGAAAUCUUUGCUCUCCCUCUAGUGGUGUUGAAUGUUAUUACACGUUUUAUGAAUGAUAGAAUUGAAUUUUGCCAUCUGCUGUGUGUGUGCCUGUGUGUGUGUGUGUGUG